Molecule: ribosomal RNA, 1208 nt
Filed under: Salmonella enterica
Lineage: Bacteria; Pseudomonadati; Pseudomonadota; Gammaproteobacteria; Enterobacterales; Enterobacteriaceae
Description: bacterial SSU rRNA
Rfam family: Bacterial small subunit ribosomal RNA
Source: RNAcentral
AAAUUGAAGAGUUUGAUCAUGGCUCAGAUUGAACGCUGGCGGCAGGCCUAACACAUGCAAGUCGAACGGUAACAGGAAGCAGCUUGCUGCUUUGCUGACGAGUGGCGGACGGGUGAGUAAUGUCUGGGAAACUGCCUGAUGGAGGGGGAUAACUACUGGAAACGGUGGCUAAUACCGCAUAACGUCGCAAGACCAAAGAGGGGGACCUUCGGGCCUCUUGCCAUCAGAUGUGCCCAGAUGGGAUUAGCUUGUUGGUGAGGUAACGGCUCACCAAGGCGACGAUCCCUAGCUGGUCUGAGAGGAUGACCAGCCACACUGGAACUGAGACACGGUCCAGACUCCUACGGGAGGCAGCAGUGGGGAAUAUUGCACAAUGGGCGCAAGCCUGAUGCAGCCAUGCCGCGUGUAUGAAGAAGGCCUUCGGGUUGUAAAGUACUUUCAGCGGGGAGGAAGGUGUUGUGGUUAAUAACCGCAGCAAUUGACGUUACCCGCAGAAGAAGCACCGGCUAACUCCGUGCCAGCAGCCGCGGUAAUACGGAGGGUGCAAGCGUUAAUCGGAAUUACUGGGCGUAAAGCGCACGCAGGCGGUCUGUCAAGUCGGAUGUGAAAUCCCCGGGCUCAACCUGGGAACUGCAUUCGAAACUGGCAGGCUUGAGUCUUGUAGAGGGGGGUAGAAUUCCAGGUGUAGCGGUGAAAUGCGUAGAGAUCUGGAGGAAUACCGGUGGCGAAGGCGGCCCCCUGGACAAAGACUGACGCUCAGGUGCGAAAGCGUGGGGAGCAAACAGGAUUAGAUACCCUGGUAGUCCACGCCGUAAACGAUGUCUACUUGGAGGUUGUGCCCUUGAGGCGUGGCUUCCGGAGCUAACGCGUUAAGUAGACCGCCUGGGGAGUACGGCCGCAAGGUUAAAACUCAAAUGAAUUGACGGGGGCCCGCACAAGCGGUGGAGCAUGUGGUUUAAUUCGAUGCAACGCGAAGAACCUUACCUGGUCUUGACAUCCACAGAAGAAUCCAGAGAUGGAUUUGUGCCUUCGGGAACUGUGAGACAGGUGCUGCAUGGCUGUCGUCAGCUCGUGUUGUGAAAUGUUGGGUUAAGUCCCGCAACGAGCGCAACCCUUAUCCUUUGUUGCCAGCGGUUAGGCCGGGAACUCAAAGGAGACUGCCAGUGAUAAACUGGAGGAAGGUGGGGAUGACGUCAAGUCAUCAUGGC